GACCCCGUAGUUCAAGGGAUAGAAUAGGAGUUUCCUAAACUCUAGAUCCAGGUUCGAGUCCUGGCGGGGUCACCA
This 75-nucleotide transfer RNA is filed under the name Saprospiraceae bacterium. Its description in RNAcentral is "tRNA-Arg". It matches the Rfam family "tRNA". Rfam says of the family: Transfer RNA (tRNA) molecules are approximately 80 nucleotides in length. Their secondary structure includes four short double-helical elements and three loops (D, anti-codon, and T loops). Lineage: Bacteria; Pseudomonadati; Bacteroidota; Saprospiria; Saprospirales; Saprospiraceae. The record is from RNAcentral. RNAcentral also lists the same sequence under 1 other name.